Molecule: ribosomal RNA, 492 nt
Filed under: uncultured bacterium
Lineage: Bacteria
Description: partial 16S ribosomal RNA
Rfam family: Bacterial small subunit ribosomal RNA
Source: RNAcentral
AGUGAACGCUGGCGGUAGACCUAACACAUGCAAGUCGAACGGCAGCACAGUAAGAGCUUGCUCUUACGGGUGGCGAGUGGCGGACGGGUGAGGAAUACAUCGGAAUCUACUUUUUCGUGGGGGAUAACGUAGGGAAACUUACGCUAAUACCGCAUACGACCUACGGGUGAAAGCAGGGGAUCUUCGGACCUUGCGCGAUUGAAUGAGCCGAUGUCGGAUUAGCUAGUUGGCGGGGUAAAGGCCCACCAAGGCGACGAUCCGUAGCUGGUCUGAGCGGAUGAUCAGCCACACUGGAACUGAGACACGGCCCAGACUCCUACGGGAGGCAGCAGUGGGGAAUAUUGGACAAUGGGCGCAAGCCUGAUCCAGCCAUACCGCGUGGGUGAAGAAGGCCUUCGGGUUGUAAAGCCCUUUUGUUGGGAAAGAAAAGCAGCAGGUUAAUACCCCGCUGUUCUGACGGUACCCAAAGAAUAAGCACCGGCUAACUUCGUG